GUGAGUAGUUCAGAGUUUGAUCCUGGCUCAGGACGAACGCUGGCGGCGUGCCUAACACAUGCAAGUCGAACGAAGAUUUGAGAGCUUGCUUUUGAAUCUUAGUGGCGGACGGGUGAGUAACGCGUGAGAAACCUGCCUUUCAAAGGGGGAUAACGUUUGGAAACGAACGCUAAUACCGCAUGAUGCAGCGAGAUCGCAUGGUCUUGCUGCCAAAGGAGCAAUCCGCUGAAAGAUGGUCUCGCGUCCGAUUAGCUAGUUGGUGAGAUAACAGCCCACCAAGGCGACGAUCGGUAGCCGGACUGAGAGGUCGAACGGCCACAUUGGGACUGAGACACGGCCCAG
This 342-nucleotide ribosomal RNA is filed under the name uncultured bacterium. Its description in RNAcentral is "bacterial SSU rRNA". It matches the Rfam family "Bacterial small subunit ribosomal RNA", at positions 1 to 334 of the family's 1533-position model. The record is from RNAcentral.